RNAcentral lists this ribosomal RNA (1218 nucleotides) under metagenome. Its description in RNAcentral is "bacterial LSU rRNA". It matches the Rfam family "Bacterial large subunit ribosomal RNA", at positions 1633 to 2839 of the family's 2925-position model. The record is from RNAcentral.
CCUUGAAGACCGUACCGUAAACCGACACAGGUGGGUAGGAUGAGAAUUCUAAGGCGCUUGAGAGAACUCAGGAGAAGGAACUCGGCAAAAUAGCACCGUAACUUCGGGAAAAGGUGUGCCCUUUGUAUGUGUAGCGCCUCGCGCGUGAAGCAGAAUAGGGUUGCAAUGAAAUGGUGGCUGCGACUGUUUAAUAAAAACAUAGCACUCUGCAAACACGAAAGUGGACGUAUAGAGUGUGACGCCUGCCCGGUGCCGGAAGGUUAAAUGAUGGGGUGCAAGCUCUUGAUUGAAGCCCAGGUAAACGGCGGCCGUAACAAUAACGGUCCUAAGGUAGCGAAAUUCCUUGUCGGGUAAGUUCCGACCUGCACGAAUGGCGUAACGAUGGCCACACUGUCUCCUCCUGGGACUCAGCGAAGUUGAAAUGUUUGUGAAGAUGCAAUCUCCCCGCGGCUAGACGGAAAGACCCCGUGCACCUUUACUGUAGCUUUACAUUGGACUUUGAUAACAUUUGUGUAGGAUAGGUGGGAGGCUUUGAAGUGGAUUCGCUAGAAUUCAUGGAGCCAACGUUGAAAUACCACCCUGAUGUUGUUGAGGUUCUAACCUAGAUCCAUUAUCUGGAUUGGGGACCGUGUAUGGUAGGCAGUUUGACUGGGGCGGUCUCCUCCCAAAUUGUAACGGAGGAGUACGAAGGUACGCUAGGUACGGUCGGAAAUCGUGCUGAUAGUGCAAUGGCAAAAGCGUGCUUGACUGCGAGACUGACAAGUCGAGCAGAUGCGAAAGCAGGUCAUAGUGAUCCGGUGGUUCUGUAUGGAAGGGCCAUCGCUCAACGGAUAAAAGGUACGCCGGGGAUAACAGGCUGAUUCCUCCCAAGAGUUCAUAUCGACGGGGGAGUUUGGCACCUCGAUGUCGGCUCAUCACAUCCUGGGGCUGUAGCCGGUCCCAAGGGUAUGGCUGUUCGCCAUUUAAAGUGGUACGUGAGCUGGGUUUAAAACGUCGUGAGACAGUUUGGUCCCUAUCUGCCGUGGGCGUUGGAAGUUUGAGUGGACCUGCUCCUAGUACGAGAGGACCGGAGUGGACGCACCUCUGGUGUACCGGUUAUGACGCCAGUCGUACCGCCGGGUAGCUAUGUGCGGAAGAGAUAACCGCUGAAAGCAUCUAAGCGGGAAACUCUCCUCAAGAUGAGACUUCCCGAGGGUUUAACCCUCCUAAAGGUUCGUC